AUAUAUAGAUGAUCUAACAGAUU
This 23-nucleotide small nuclear RNA is filed under the name Arabidopsis thaliana (thale cress). Its description in RNAcentral is "snRNA_04786". Lineage: Eukaryota; Viridiplantae; Streptophyta; Magnoliopsida; Brassicales; Brassicaceae. The record is from RNAcentral.